ACCAUUACCACUAACCACCAUUUUCGUCACACUACCACCGACCCCAAACAACCACCAUAAGAAAAUCAACCUCUUCACCACCGCCGUCAGAAACGACGCUGGCGACGGGAUUGGGUGGUCGGCGACGGGAUUUGAGUGCCAAUCCAUCGAAUCGAUCUCAUCCUCUACCUCUAGAUCCGAGUUAAGCACGUGAUAGGAUUUGAUGGUCGGCGGUCGUGCAGAAAAUCAUCGGAGCGAAGAACGGGCUGGUGAAGACGGCAGAAAACGAUGUAACGGGUGGUGGGUGAUGUAAUGUUUAGAUCUGAGCUAUUGAGGAAAUUUAGUUGGUAUAAUGUUGAGUGAUUAAUUUGUUAUAUCU
Molecule: long non-coding RNA, 358 nt
Filed under: Helianthus annuus (common sunflower)
Lineage: Eukaryota; Viridiplantae; Streptophyta; Magnoliopsida; Asterales; Asteraceae
Description: sRNA HanXRQr2_Chr10g0460171
Source: RNAcentral